Molecule: long non-coding RNA, 607 nt
Organism: Solea senegalensis (Senegalese sole)
Lineage: Eukaryota; Metazoa; Chordata; Actinopteri; Pleuronectiformes; Soleidae
Exons: 3
Source: RefSeq, a predicted model, not a curated record
UGAGCAUUCACCUUUUCUUUUCUUCCGGUGGAGACAUUGCCAGAGAGCAUUAAGGACUGGUUGGAAGCUGUGUGAGAGAGAGACGAGCCGCACAAUUUUGCGAGCUCCUCAAGAUAGCUCCGAUUGUUUUUUUGGAUGAGAGAAAGAGAUCGACUGAACCUGACUCUGAUGUCAGUGGCGAGCUAACCAGAACUCGACAACGAACAGACCAAGAACCUAGUGUGGCCAGCUGUGGCAUCUUGGGACCGUCAUCAUUCCGUUCCUUCACCGGAGAUACAGAUAAGAUCAUACAUAAACCUACCCGGGUAGUAAAAAAGGAAAGACAUUCAUACUCCAAGAAACACACACACACACAUCAAGAUCUUCCAUGAACUCCAAAGGCAGCAAUUUUUUUGUUUUGUUUUGAAAUUACUUGGUUUAAGCCUAAUAUUGUGCGCCUGUGCACUCAGGAAGCCGGCUUAGAUAGGCAGGGAGUGUAAAAUAUUGUUAAUAAUUUUGUACAAUACAUAUUUCAAACUUACCUAUUUUGUGAUGUGUGUUCACUGCUGACCUUUUACUAUUUCAGGCUCCAUAGUCGUACUUAGAAUCUUCUGAUAAUAACCUAGCU